This 352-nucleotide unclassified non-coding RNA is filed under the name soil metagenome. RNAcentral describes it as "partial contains 5.8S ribosomal RNA, internal transcribed spacer 2, and large subunit ribosomal RNA". The stretch from base 1 to 120 matches the Rfam family "5.8S ribosomal RNA", at positions 35 to 154 of the family's 154-position model. The record is from RNAcentral.
GAUGAAGAACGUAGCGAAAUGCGAUAAGUAAUGUGAAUUGCAGAAUUCAGUGAAUCAUCGAAUCUUUGGACGCACAUUGCGCCCGCCAGUAUUCUGGCGGGCAUGCCUGUUCGAGCGUCAUUACAACCCUCAGGCCCCCGGGCCUGGCGUUGGGGAUCGGCGGAGCCCCCCGUGGGCACACGCCGUCCCCCAAAUGCAGUGGCGGUCCCGCCGCAGCUUCCAUCGCGUAGUAGCUAACACCUCGCGACUGGAGAGCGGCGCGGCCACGCCGUAAAACACCCAACUCUUCUGAAGUUGACCUCGAAUCAGGUAGGAAUACCCGCUGAACUUAAGCAUAUCAAUAAGCGGAGGA